CUUUCGAAUUACUUAUUUGUUUAAUUAUUAACGAUUGGAAUAGAAAUAAACAAUUUCGAAAUCUAAAUGAUGA
This 73-nucleotide transfer RNA is filed under the name Haymondia wallichii. RNAcentral describes it as "tRNA-Glu". Lineage: Eukaryota; Viridiplantae; Streptophyta; Magnoliopsida; Fabales; Fabaceae. The record is from RNAcentral.